This 468-nucleotide ribosomal RNA is filed under the name uncultured bacterium. RNAcentral's name for it is "partial 16S ribosomal RNA". It matches the Rfam family "Bacterial small subunit ribosomal RNA", at positions 28 to 507 of the family's 1533-position model. The record is from RNAcentral.
GACGAACGCUGGCGGCGUGCUUAACACAUGCAAGUCGAACGGAAAGGCCCUGCUUUUGUGGGGUGCUCGAGUGGCGAACGGGUGAGUAACACGUGAGUAACCUGCCCUUGACUUUGGGAUAACUUCAGGAAACUGGGGCUAAUACCGGAUAGGAGCUCCUGCUGCAUGGUGGGGGUUGGAAAGUUUCGGCGGUUGGGGAUGGACUCGCGGCUUAUCAGCUUGUUGGUGGGGUAGUGGCUUACCCAGGCUGUGAAGGGUAGCCGGCCUGAGAGGGUGACCGGGCACAAGAGGACUGCGAUACGGACCAGACGCCUACGGGAGGCAGCAGUCGGAAAUAUUGCACAAUGGGCGGACGCCUGAUGCGACAACGCCGCGUGCGGGAUGACGGCCUUCGGGUUAAAAACCGCUUUCGCCUGUGACGAAGCGUGAGUGACGGUAAUGGGUAAAGAAGCACCGGCUAACUACGUG